CUUGCAUGAUGAACGCAAAGAAGAAUUCUGCAAUUCAGACAAUCUCCGUGCAUUUCUCUCGGGUUCUGCAUUGUGAGAUUGCAUGUUGACUCUUCUACACUUGAUCUGAUA
Molecule: small nucleolar RNA, 111 nt
Filed under: Penicillium brasilianum
Lineage: Eukaryota; Fungi; Ascomycota; Eurotiomycetes; Eurotiales; Aspergillaceae
Description: A. fumigatus snoRNA Afu_191
Rfam family: A. fumigatus snoRNA Afu_191
Source: Rfam by way of RNAcentral